CCUACGAGUGGCUGCAGUGAGGAAUAUUGGUCAAUGGCCGGAAGGCUGAACCAGCCAUGCCGCGUGAAGGUCAGUGCCCUAUGGGCGUUAAACUUCUUUUGUGCGGGAGCAAUAAUGGUAACGUGUGGCCAGACGAGAGUACCGUACGAAUAAGCAUAGGCUAACUUCGUGCAAGCAGCCGAGGUAAUACGGGGGAUGCAAGCGUUAUCCGGAUUUAUUGGGUUUAAAGGGUGCGUAGGCUGUGAGGUAAGUCAGCGGGGAAAUGCCCCCGGUCAACGGGGUGAAGUGCCAUUGAUACUGCCUUGCUGGAAUGCGGAUGCCGUGGGAUGAAUGUGUGGUGUAGCGGUGAAAUGCAUAGAUAUCACACAGAACACCGAUUGCGAAGGCAUCUCACGAAUCCGCGAUUGACGCUGAUGCACGAAAGCGUGGGUAUCAAACAGGAUUAGAUACCCGGGUAGUC
This 460-nucleotide ribosomal RNA is filed under the name uncultured bacterium. RNAcentral describes it as "partial 16S ribosomal RNA". It matches the Rfam family "Bacterial small subunit ribosomal RNA", at positions 338 to 795 of the family's 1533-position model. The record is from RNAcentral.